CCCCUCAUGGCUCAGCUGGUAGAGAAUCUGCCUGCGAUGCAGAAGACCUGGGUUCAAUCCCUGGGUUGGGA
Molecule: transfer RNA, 71 nt
Organism: Ovis aries (sheep)
Lineage: Eukaryota; Metazoa; Chordata; Mammalia; Artiodactyla; Bovidae
Rfam family: tRNA
About the family: Transfer RNA (tRNA) molecules are approximately 80 nucleotides in length.
Source: Rfam